AGAUUGAACGCUGGCGGCAUGCCUUACACAUGCAAGUCGAACGGCAGCACGGGAGCAAUCCUGGUGGCGAGUGGCGAACGGGUGAGUAAUACAUCGGAACGUGCCCAGUAGUGGGGGAUAACCCGGCGAAAGCCGGACUAAUACCGCAUACGACCUACGGGUGAAAGCAGGGGAUCGCAAGACCUUGCGCUAUUGGAGCGGCCGAUGUCAGAUUAGCUAGUUGGUGGGGUAAAUCGGACCUAGGCCAAGGCGACGAGUCCGAUAGGCUGGUCUGGAGACGAUCGAAUCAGGCCAGAC
This 297-nucleotide ribosomal RNA is filed under the name uncultured soil bacterium. RNAcentral's name for it is "partial 16S ribosomal RNA". It matches the Rfam family "Bacterial small subunit ribosomal RNA", at positions 26 to 313 of the family's 1533-position model. The record is from RNAcentral.